This 448-nucleotide ribosomal RNA is filed under the name uncultured prokaryote. RNAcentral describes it as "bacterial SSU rRNA". It matches the Rfam family "Bacterial small subunit ribosomal RNA", at positions 355 to 796 of the family's 1533-position model. The record is from RNAcentral.
UCGAGAAUCUUCCGCAAUGGACGCAAGUCUGACGGAGCGACGCCGCGUGCGGGAUGAAGGGCUUUGGCUUGUAAACCGCUGUCAGGUAUUAGGAAAGUGCGUAGGUUAAUACCCUGCGUAUUGACAAAGGUACCAAAGGAAGCCACGGCUAACUCUGUGCCAGCAGCCGCGGUAAUACAGAGGUGGCAAGCGUUGUUCGGUAUCACUGGGCUUAAAGGGCGUGUAGGCGGCACGGUACGGUUCGGGUGAAAUCCCUCGGCUUAACCGAGGAACUGCCCGGGCUACGGCCGAGCUAGACAGCAUCAGGGGAAGGUGGAACUCGCGGUGGAGCGGUGAAAUGCGUAGAUAUCGCGAGGAACGCCGGUGGCGAAAGCGACCUUCUAGGGUGCUUGUGACGCUGAGGCGCGAAAGCUAGGGGAGCGAACGGGAUUAGAUACCCCCGUAGUCC